GAAACCCAAAAGAUCGAAUGGGGAGAUUCAUCGUCAGCCAUCUCGGCACGUGCGCGUUUCGCGAUGUCGAGAGGUCUCGGCCUCUCGGCACGCGUACGUGUGUUUCGUUGCCGGUUGUCGUCGGCGUGCACUUCUCCCCUAGUAGGACGUCGCGACCCGUUGGGUGUCGGUCUACGGCCCGGGUGGGAGCCUGUCACGCGCAACGCCUCGCGGCGUCGCGUGGCAGACCCCCGGUCGCCCGACCAGCUGCCCGGCGGUACUCGCACGGUAUCGAGCCGCAAAUAUUCGAACUGCGUCCGGCCCGCCGCAAGCUGUGCCAGUGUUUACCCGGAUGUACGGACCUAGCGCCGUCACCGGGCCUGGCCGGCUGUUGGCCGGCGGUGUCCUGGGACCGGCUCUAAAUUUACCGGUUAGCGACGCUACUGCUUUGGGUACUUUCAGGACCCGUCUUGAAACACGGACCAAA
RNAcentral lists this ribosomal RNA (466 nucleotides) under Agrypon japonicum. Its description in RNAcentral is "eukaryotic LSU rRNA". Lineage: Eukaryota; Metazoa; Arthropoda; Insecta; Hymenoptera; Ichneumonidae. The record is from RNAcentral.